AGACGAAGGUGGCAACCGUUGUUCGGAAUUACUGGGCAUAAAGCGCACGUAGGCGGGAAAGCAAGUCGGGUGUGAAAUCCCUCGGCCCAACCGAGGAACUGCGCCCGAAACUGCUUUUCUUGAGGACAGAAGGGGAGCAUGGAAUUCCUGGUGGAGCGGUGAAAUGCGUUGAUAUCAGGAGGAACACCGGCGGCGAAGGCGACGCUCUGGUCUGUUUCUGACGCUAAGGUGCGAAAGCCAGGGGAGCAAACGGGAUUAGAAACCCCAGUAGUCC
This 274-nucleotide ribosomal RNA is filed under the name uncultured bacterium. RNAcentral describes it as "partial 16S ribosomal RNA". It matches the Rfam family "Bacterial small subunit ribosomal RNA", at positions 523 to 796 of the family's 1533-position model. The record is from RNAcentral.